CAGCCGCCACGGGAAUACGUAGGGUGCAAGCGUUAAUCGGAAUUACUGGGCGUAAAGCGUGCGCAGGCGGUUAUAUAAGACAGAUGUGAAAUCCCCGGGCUCAACCUGGGAACUGCAUUUGUGACUGUAUAGCUAGAGUACGGCAGAGGGGGAUGGAAUUCCGCGUGUAGCAGUGAAAUGCGUAGAUAUGCGGAGGAACACCGAUGGCGAAGGCAAUCCCCUGGGCCUGUACUGACGCUCAUGCACGAAAGCGUGGGGAGCAAACAGGAUUAGAUACCCCAGUAGUCCCUGUCUCUUAUAA
RNAcentral lists this ribosomal RNA (301 nucleotides) under uncultured bacterium. RNAcentral describes it as "partial 16S ribosomal RNA". It matches the Rfam family "Bacterial small subunit ribosomal RNA", at positions 509 to 809 of the family's 1533-position model. The record is from RNAcentral.